UACGGAGGAUCCGAGCGUUAUCCGGAUUUAUUGGGUUUAAAGGGUGCGUAGGCGGCACAUUAAGUCAGGGGUGAAAGACGGCAGCUCAACUGUCGCAGUGCCUUUGAUACUGAUGUGCUUGAAUGUACUUGAGGUAGGCGGAAUGUGACAAGUAGCGGUGAAAUGCAUAGAUAUGUCACAGAACACCAAUUGCGAAGGCAGCUUACUAAAGUAUGAUUGACGCUGAGGCACGAAAGCGUGGGGAUCAAACAGG
This 253-nucleotide ribosomal RNA is filed under the name uncultured bacterium. RNAcentral describes it as "partial 16S ribosomal RNA". It matches the Rfam family "Bacterial small subunit ribosomal RNA", at positions 524 to 776 of the family's 1533-position model. The record is from RNAcentral.